CCUACGGGUGGCAGCAGUCGAGAAUCAUUCACAAUGGGGGAAACCCUGAUGGUGCGACGCCGCGUGGGGGAAUGAAGGUCUUCGGAUUGUAAACCCCUGUCAUGUGGGAGCAAAUUAAAAAGAUAGUACCACAAGAGGAAGAGACGGCCAAAUCUGUGCCAGCAGCCGCGGUAAUACAGAGGUCCCAAGCGGUGUUCGGAAUCACUGGGCGUAAAGGGUGCGUAGGCGGUUUCGUAAGUCGUGUGUGAAAGGCGCGGGCUCAACCCGCGGACGGCACAUGAUACUGGGAGACUAGAGUAAUGGAGGGGGAACCGGAAUUCUAGGUGUAGCAGUGAAAUGCGUAGAUAUCGAGAGGAACACUCGUGGCGAAGGCGGGUUCCUGGACAUUAACUGACGCUGAGGCACGAAGGCCAGGGGAGCGAAAGGGAUUAGAUACCCCGGUAGUC
RNAcentral lists this ribosomal RNA (446 nucleotides) under uncultured bacterium. Its description in RNAcentral is "partial 16S ribosomal RNA". It matches the Rfam family "Bacterial small subunit ribosomal RNA", at positions 338 to 795 of the family's 1533-position model. The record is from RNAcentral.